UCGGCUACCACUUACAGAUGGACCCGCGGCGCAUUAGCUGUUGGUGAGGUAACGGCUCACCAAGGCAACGAUGCGUAGCCGACCUGAGAGGGUGAUCGGCCACACUGGGACGAGACACGGCCCAGACUCCUACGGGAGGCAGCAGUAGGGAAUCUUCCGCAAUGGACGAAAGUCUGACGGAGCAACGCGCGUGAGUGAUGAAGGUUUUCGGAUCGUAAAGCUCUUUGUUAGGGAAGAACAAGUACCGUUCGAAUAGGGCGGUACCUUGACGGUACCUAACCAGAAAGCCACGGCUAACUACGGCCAGCAGCCGCGGUAAUACGUAGGUGGCAAGCGUUNUCCGGAAUUAUUGGGCGUAAAGGGCUCGCAGGCGGUUUCUUAAGUCUAUGUGAAAGCCCCCGGCUCAACCGGGGAGGGUCAUUGGAAACUGGGGAACUUGAGUGCAGAAGAGGAGAGUGAAUUCCACGUGUNGCGGUGAAAUGCGUAGAGAUGUGGAGGAACACCAGUGGCGAAGGCGAUCUCUGGUCUGUAACUGACGCUGAGGAGCGAAAGCGUGGGGAGCGAACAGGAUUAGAUACCCUGGUAGUCCACGCCGAAACGAUGAGUGCUAAGUGUUAGGGGGUUUCCGCCCCUUAGUGCUGCAGUAACGCAUUNAGCACUCCGCCUGGGGAGUACGGUGCAAGACUGAAACUCAAAGGAAUUGACGGGGGCCGCACAAGCGGUGGAGCAUGUGGUUUAAUUCAAGCAACGCGAAGAACCUUACCAGGUCUUGACAUCCUCUGACAAUCCUAGAGAUAGGACGUCUUCGGGGGCAGAGUGACAGUGGUGCAUGGUUUCGUCAGCUCGUGUCGUGAGAUGUUGGGUUAAGUCCCGCAACGAGCGCAACCCUGGAUCUUAGUUGCCAGCAUUCAGUUGGGCACUCUAAGUGACUGCCGGUGACAAACCGGAGGAAGGUGGGGAUGACGUCAAAUCAUCAUGCCCCUUAUGACCUGGGCUACACACUGCUACAAUGGACAGAACAAAGGGCAGCGAAACCGCGAGGUUAAGCCAAUCCCACAAAUCUGUUCUCAGUCGGAUCGCAGUCUGCAACUCG
Molecule: ribosomal RNA, 1093 nt
Filed under: Bacillus subtilis
Lineage: Bacteria; Bacillati; Bacillota; Bacilli; Caryophanales; Bacillaceae
Description: bacterial SSU rRNA
Rfam family: Bacterial small subunit ribosomal RNA
Source: RNAcentral